ACAGGUUGGGGCUGGGGAGAAGGAAUAGUUGUGUAGAUAGUCAAAGAUAACUCUAGCUGGUGAUGAAGUCUCCAGUUAGUUCUCCUGAGGAAGCACCUUAUGGCCCAAAUAGCAGUGCUCAAACUUGGACAUCAAACCCAGGAUUCUCUUUUCUUCAUGGGCUAACAGCAAAAUCUGCCUGAGGCUGGUGGACAAGAUGUCUGUUCUCCAGCCUUUUGUGAAGAUUUAUUUAUAAGAAUGCCAUGGCUUUGGAUGAGAGUCUUUGGCUCAAUAUUGAAGUUUAGUCACCUUACACAGA
Cyanistes caeruleus (blue tit) is the source of this 298-nucleotide long non-coding RNA. RefSeq lists it as uncharacterized. The record is from RefSeq and is a predicted model, not a curated record. NCBI's taxonomy places the organism in Eukaryota, Metazoa, Chordata, Aves, Passeriformes, Paridae.